UUUAAACAUAUUUUUAUUGCAAACCAAAGGGUUACUGGGUUUCUUUCUGCCCCCAAAGAAGAGGAUUGUAAUUAGCCGGGAGCAGAGGAGCCGACAUUUUGACGCCAGGGAGCGGCGGCACUUGGCAAAUAUCCCUCGGCACAGCCACAGAACUACAGGGACGGACGCUGCAGAGUCUGGUUUCCUUCAGCAGCUUGCACUGCGCGUUCUCAUUGGUGACCCGAGAUGAAACGCCCAUCCCGCAGCUGCGCGAACAAGGCGUCCAGCUUGUCGUCUGUGCAACACAUUGCCGUCCGGCUUGCUUCCAUGCUAGGAAGAAGUGAGAGAGAUUGGGGUCAGGCUCGUUGUCUGAGGGAAAUUAGCAUCUCCAUAAAGCUUGUCAGCAGAUGGAAGCAUAAAGGGCUCCAAAAUCUCCAUGUAGACGGCAACAACGAUAAAACACUAUGUAGCAACACCAGCAGACGUUAUCCAUCACCAACUUCAGAAACCUCACCCUGGACGUCAAGCAGCUUGGAUUCUGUUCCUCUCCACACUUCCUCUGGACUCCAGACCUUGAUUUCCAAACAAAAUGCAAAAUUUACUUUUACCUGAAAAGAGCGCCCCGGACCACCGUGUAACAGUCCAGACAUGUUUCUCCUCAGGUAAGAUGAUUCUGGUGUGGUUUCUGUCUCAGAAGUGUCUUGGCAGCCCUUUUCCUGAAGACUCUUGAUGCAGCGUUCUCGAGCUUGAGCUCAACACCUUUUCCUUCCCAAUUUCUUCCUUUCAGUCAACUUUGCAUUUACUAUGCUUUGAUACAGCACUCUGCGAACACUCUCUUUUCAGCAGUGACUUGCCCUGUUGGUGGAGGACGUCAGUGAUUGUCUCCGGGGACCCUUGCCAAGUCAGCAGUCUUCCCCAUUAUUGGGGUUUUUAAAGAGCGAGAGAUACCCAGACUGUAAACUCUAGAAAUGGCCAUUUAAUGAAACUCAGACAACAUUUUCGAGAUGCUGUUCUUUUGACUUUCGUGAGCCGUAAGCGCUAAUCACGUCCAGUGAAUCUAGAAUAUCUAGAAUAUACGAAAGUUUAAAUGACCGAAAAACCGAACCUUUUCCCAAUAUUUGCAUGUUUUGAGACGCGUUGAGUCGUAGUUACCAAACGCUGUGGGGACACACAGAACAGCGC
Puntigrus tetrazona (Sumatra barb) is the source of this 1161-nucleotide long non-coding RNA. RefSeq lists it as uncharacterized. Lineage: Eukaryota; Metazoa; Chordata; Actinopteri; Cypriniformes; Cyprinidae. The record is from RefSeq and is a predicted model, not a curated record. The transcript has 3 exons.